This 1393-nucleotide ribosomal RNA is filed under the name Klebsiella variicola. Its description in RNAcentral is "bacterial SSU rRNA". It matches the Rfam family "Bacterial small subunit ribosomal RNA". Lineage: Bacteria; Pseudomonadati; Pseudomonadota; Gammaproteobacteria; Enterobacterales; Enterobacteriaceae. The record is from RNAcentral.
CACAGAGAGCUUGCUCUCGGGUGACGAGCGGCGGACGGGUGAGUAAUGUCUGGGAAACUGCCUGAUGGAGGGGGAUAACUACUGGAAACGGUAGCUAAUACCGCAUAACGUCGCAAGACCAAAGUGGGGGACCUUCGGGCCUCAUGCCAUCAGAUGUGCCCAGAUGGGAUUAGCUGGUAGGUGGGGUAACGGCUCACCUAGGCGACGAUCCCUAGCUGGUCUGAGAGGAUGACCAGCCACACUGGAACUGAGACACGGUCCAGACUCCUACGGGAGGCAGCAGUGGGGAAUAUUGCACAAUGGGCGCAAGCCUGAUGCAGCCAUGCCGCGUGUGUGAAGAAGGCCUUCGGGUUGUAAAGCACUUUCAGCGGGGAGGAAGGCGGUGAGGUUAAUAACCUCAUCGAUUGACGUUACCCGCAGAAGAAGCACCGGCUAACUCCGUGCCAGCAGCCGCGGUAAUACGGAGGGUGCAAGCGUUAAUCGGAAUUACUGGGCGUAAAGCGCACGCAGGCGGUCUGUCAAGUCGGAUGUGAAAUCCCCGGGCUCAACCUGGGAACUGCAUUCGAAACUGGCAGGCUAGAGUCUUGUAGAGGGGGGUAGAAUUCCAGGUGUAGCGGUGAAAUGCGUAGAGAUCUGGAGGAAUACCGGUGGCGAAGGCGGCCCCCUGGACAAAGACUGACGCUCAGGUGCGAAAGCGUGGGGAGCAAACAGGAUUAGAUACCCUGGUAGUCCACGCUGUAAACGAUGUCGAUUUGGAGGUUGUGCCCUUGAGGCGUGGCUUCCGGAGCUAACGCGUUAAAUCGACCGCCUGGGGAGUACGGCCGCAAGGUUAAAACUCAAAUGAAUUGACGGGGGCCCGCACAAGCGGUGGAGCAUGUGGUUUAAUUCGAUGCAACGCGAAGAACCUUACCUGGUCUUGACAUCCACAGAACUUUCCAGAGAUGGAUUGGUGCCUUCGGGAACUGUGAGACAGGUGCUGCAUGGCUGUCGUCAGCUCGUGUUGUGAAAUGUUGGGUUAAGUCCCGCAACGAGCGCAACCCUUAUCCUUUGUUGCCAGCGGUUAGGCCGGGAACUCAAAGGAGACUGCCAGUGAUAAACUGGAGGAAGGUGGGGAUGACGUCAAGUCAUCAUGGCCCUUACGACCAGGGCUACACACGUGCUACAAUGGCAUAUACAAAGAGAAGCGACCUCGCGAGAGCAAGCGGACCUCAUAAAGUAUGUCGUAGUCCGGAUUGGAGUCUGCAACUCGACUCCAUGAAGUCGGAAUCGCUAGUAAUCGUAGAUCAGAAUGCUACGGUGAAUACGUUCCCGGGCCUUGUACACACCGCCCGUCACACCAUGGGAGUGGGUUGCAAAAGAAGUAGGUAGCUUAACCUUCGGGAGGGCGCUUACC